Long non-coding RNA from Piliocolobus tephrosceles (Ugandan red Colobus), 1590 nucleotides. RefSeq lists it as uncharacterized. Lineage: Eukaryota; Metazoa; Chordata; Mammalia; Primates; Cercopithecidae. The record is from RefSeq and is a predicted model, not a curated record. The transcript is spliced from 2 exons.
GUAGAGACAAGGUCUCAUUAUAUUGCCCAGGCUGGUCUCUCAAACUCCUGGGCUCAAGCAAUCCUCCAGCCUCAGCCUCCUAAAGUGAUGGGAUUACAGGCAUGAGUCACCACACUCGGCCUGGGCAGGACUUUCUAAAGAGGGACUGACUCCCACACACUGACUCCCUGGAGCUGGCGGGAUGAAGCCCACGAACCUUGGCCUGGCUUGCUAAAUCCUCCCUCCUGGCUCCCUCUCCGGCUGGCUCCUCAGCUUACGCGCUUUCCUCCAGGCAGCUCUUGGGCUUCGCAGUGACCCUUCCUCGGUGCUCCCCAACAGCAUGCUUCUAGCAUCUCAUCCCAACAGAGUGACCAGCAGCCAUGUGCGGCUGUGUGGCCCUCACCAAGUCAUUUCACUUCGUUUUUAUGCUUUGGCUUUCACAUUUCCACGCAUGUGAACGGAGAUGACCAUGGUGCCGACCCCAAAGGACCCUUACACGUCUUAAAAAAGUGAGCCACGGAAAGGCCUCAGCCCAGUGCCUAGCAGAGAAGCAGCACACGCGAGGGAAGGAACGACUAGAGAAGACCUGUGGUGUGCCAGGCACUAGACCUGGGGCUCGGCGGCACGUGUCAGCUCCUUGCAACUGUGAAACAACUGGAGUGCAGCGAGGGUGUCACCUCCCAGCUGGAUUUAAGGGGCUGAGUUGUCCACUCUGAUCUUUUCCAAGCACAAACUGCAAAGCAGACCAGAAAGCAGCUGGCCCUGACUCCAGGGCUACCCACAGAUGCCCCUGUACCUCCUCAUGCUCCUGUGCUCCCAUGUGAUGUCCUGGGUUGUGCAAGAUGACAAGGCUGGGGAAGUCCCAAGCUGAAGAGACCAAGUGCUCCCUGACAAUUUGCCGAUCUAAUCACGUACAACUUAAGACAAAGUUAACCCAUCUCAUUGAAUGAGAUGGUAUAAUGGUGAUGACUGAGCUGCCCGCUAAUUGUGCUCAACCAGGAAGCAGCUCAUGGAGUUGGUUGUAAUUAGUAUUUGUGUUACACAGGUGGGUGGGUGGGUGGGUGAGGGCUGGGCAGAGGGAAGAGGAAGUAGGUGGGGCAGGAAGCUCUGGGGACUCCUUGGAUCCAUAAACCCCAUGCCAGCCAACUCAUGUGGUUGAUCCUGUCUAAUCUUCAUGAUGACCUCAUGAUGUACUGUUAUCUCUCUUCUAAGGUGAGAAAACAGGCUCAGAGAAGUCCAUUCACCUGUCCAAGGUCAGAGAGCUAGAAAAUGACAGAUCCAGGGUUCCCUCUUCAGCCCAGGAGGUGUCUUGGAGAGCAGAAGGAACAGGAAUAGGGCUGGGAGGCUGGAGAUCCACAUUUGGGUCCCAGUUCUGACACUGCCUUACCAUGGGCCUCAGCAAGUAGCAUCCCUCUUCAGGACACAAACAGAUAGGUCUGUCAGGUUACGGGCGGCUGAGGGUGUGGACUUGGGAGCUAGGCUCCUUGGAUUCUAAUCCUUGGGCAAGCUACUUCACCAUCUGAGCCUCGGUGUCCUCAUCUGUAAAAUGGAGAUGACAACAGUGUCUCCCUCAUAGGCUUGUGAAGAUAAAAUGAGUAUCAAGACUUAGAA